This is a long non-coding RNA of Canis lupus familiaris (dog), 877 nucleotides long. RefSeq lists it as uncharacterized. The transcript has 3 exons. Lineage: Eukaryota; Metazoa; Chordata; Mammalia; Carnivora; Canidae. The record is from RefSeq and is a predicted model, not a curated record.
AUUCACAUUUUCAGUGAUUGACUACGACUCAAAUGAGGCCAAUAGAAUCAAUCCUAAAAGUUUUUCUGACAUUUUGAGAAGACAUAUCCUCUUCCUGCUGAGAUUUUGAAGGGGGUAGAAUUUUAGGUUAACCCUGUUAGGCAUCUUUGUCUGGGAAUAAAGCCAACAGAGAGGAAAACGAUUUGGAGAGAAACAAAUGUGCUGGAACAACGGUCAACUGAAGCAGUGGCUUCAUGAAGAAUUCCCUAUGACUUGUUGAUUUGAAAAGAUGAAUUUCCAGCCUACUUUACAGAUGGAGAUGGCACUCAACAACAACCACAACAAAUGGCCCCGCAUUUUAGCUGCUGUCAGGAUGUCUCCGAAAGAUAAUGGUGAAAAAAAUAUAUCUUUCCAGUUAACAGAUCUAUGGGCAAUACAUCUUGUUGUCUCCUUCAACAUGAGUGUGAAACUGUACUAAUUAAGGCACACUUUCUAAUGGGUUGGCUAGCUGGUAGGGAAAUUGGAAUUAAAUUAGGUUGGCCUCGAAGUCUUGAAGUGAAGUAAGGUUCAACUUCUUGUAAUGAGCACAAAUCUGAAGGUACCUGGGUCCUAUAGAAAUACCCGUUAAAUGCCAUCUAUGAGUCUCUUCAUAAUCAGAGAGAAAAGACAGUCUCCUUUGAAGUUGUUCUGCCUCUUUCCAGACUCCAGAGUUUACUCAAUGACCCAAAGUAUAAUGGUAAAAAUGGUGUAUAUUAAUGUGCUUAAUUACAUUGUUAUUUUACCAAGACCGCCUUGCUGUUACCAUAUCUGAAUGUUCACAAUGCUGACAUGGGAGGCUCCGUUACUCAGAGAGACCAGUCCCCCACCAGAAUGUAGAUUGAUUGCUUUGGACACGUGA